UAGUUUAAUGAAUUAGACCCGAAAACGAAUGAGCUUACCAUGAGCAGGUUGAAAGCAAGGUAACACUUGCCGGAGGACCGAACCAGUUGACGUUGAAAAGUCUUUGGAUGACUUGUGGUAAGGGGUGAAAGGCCAACCAAAUUCGUAGAUAGCUGGUUUUCCGCGAAAACUAUUUAGGUAGUGCGUUGAAUAAAUAGAUGUUUAGAGGUAGAGCACUAAAUGGGCUAGGGGGAAGAGAUUCUUACCAAACCUAAUAAAACUCCGAAUGCUAAACAUUGUUCUUCAGCAGACAGACUGUGGGUGCUAAGGUCCAUGGUCGAGAGGGAAAGAGCCCAGACCACCAGAUAAGGUCCCAAAAUUAUGAUUAAGUGUGAAAGGAUGUGGAAAUUCCUUAACAGCCGGGAGGUUGGCUUAGAAGCAGCCAUCCUUUAAAGAUAGCGUAACAGCUCACCGGUCUAAUAGAGUUUCUGCGCCGAAGAUGUAACGGGGCUAAAAUCAUAUACCGAAUCUGUGGAUUUAUAAUUUUUUCGAAAAUUAUGACUGGUAGCGGAACGUUCUGUAAGCCUGUGAAGGGAUACCUGUGAAGGAUCCUGGAGGUAUCAGAAGUGCGAAUGCUGACAUAAGUAACGAUAAAAGAAGUGAAAAACUUCUUCGCCGAAAAUCCAAGGGUUUCUGCGCAAGGUUAAUCCGCGCAGAGUUAGUCGGCACCUAAGGCGAGGGCGAAAGCCGUAGUCGAUGGAAACAAGGUUAAUAUUCCUUGACCAGAUGGUAGUGACGGAUCUUGUAAGUUGUGAAUUCUUAAUGGAUUGAAUUUGCCGCGAAAAGGUUCCAAGAAAUAGCUCCAUCAUUAGACCGUACCCUAAACCGACACAGGUGGAUUAAUAGAGUAUAUUUAGGCGCUUGAGAGAAUGAUGUUGAAGGAACUCGGCAAAAUGCUUCCGUAACUUCGGAAUAAGGAAGACCUUUAUUUAGGCAACUAAUUAAAGGUGGCACAAGCCAGGGAGAAGCGACUGUUUAUCAAAAACACAGGGCUCUGCUAACACGUAAGUGGAUGUAUAGGGUCUGACGCCUGCCCGGUGCUGGAAGGUUAAUGCGAUGGGUGCAAGCUCAUUUCUGAAGCCCCAGUAAACGGCGGCCGUAACUAUAACGGUCCUAAGGUAGCGAAAUUCCUUGUCGGGUAAGUUCCGACCUGCAUGAAUGGCGUAACGAUUUCUCCGCUGUCUCCAACAUCAACUCAGUGAAAUUGAAUUCUCCGUGAAGAUGCGGAGUUCGCGUAGUUAGACGGAAAGACCCCGUGCACCUUUACUGCAACUUUACAUUGGUGUUAGGAAAAACAUAUUUAGCAUAGGAGGGAGACAUUGAAGCAAAGGCGUCAGCUUUUGUGGAGUCACCAGUGAAAUACCUCUUUUGUUUUUCUUGAUAUCUAACUGAUAGCCGUUAUCCGGCAUCAAGACAUUGUAUGGUGGGUAGUUUGACUGGGGCGGUCGCCUCCCA
Molecule: ribosomal RNA, 1494 nt
Filed under: marine metagenome
Description: bacterial LSU rRNA
Rfam family: Bacterial large subunit ribosomal RNA
Source: RNAcentral